AGAAUAGAUGUUUAGUCCAAAUAAGACCACUAAUUUCGGCUUAGUAGAUUAUGGUGAAAAUCCAUAAACAUCUU
RNAcentral lists this transfer RNA (74 nucleotides) under Heterodontus francisci (horn shark). RNAcentral describes it as "tRNA-Arg". The record is from RNAcentral. Lineage: Eukaryota; Metazoa; Chordata; Chondrichthyes; Heterodontiformes; Heterodontidae.